This 271-nucleotide unclassified non-coding RNA is filed under the name Russula sp. RNAcentral describes it as "partial contains small subunit ribosomal RNA, internal transcribed spacer 1, and 5.8S ribosomal RNA". The stretch from base 1 to 46 matches the Rfam family "Eukaryotic small subunit ribosomal RNA", at positions 1786 to 1831 of the family's 1831-position model. The record is from RNAcentral. Lineage: Eukaryota; Fungi; Basidiomycota; Agaricomycetes; Russulales; Russulaceae.
AAGUCGUAACAAGGUUUCCGUAGGUGAACCUGCGGAAGGAUCAUUAUCGUACAACUGAGGUGCAAGGGCUGUCGCUGACCUUCAAGGGUCGUGCACGCCCAAGCCCCUCUCACACAUCCAUCUCACCCCUUUGUGCAUCACCGCGUGGGCCCCCCUUUGCAGGAGGGCUUGCGUUUUCACAUAAAACUUGAUACAGUGUAGAAUGUUUUUUCUUUUCUUUUGCGGUCACACGCAAUCAAUACAACUUUCAACAACGGAUCUCUUGGCUCUC